CGGUCACUGUGUAGCUUUGCAAAUGUGCCAUCCUAGUCCUGCUCGUAACACCACGUAAAAAGGUUCGAGGAUUGACGCAUUCAACCAUGUGUCACCACAACACCCUCCUUCUGGCAAUGUGCGGGCUGGCUCUCACACAAUGUACUGCUUUUCCACCGUGCCAGGAUAUAUAUUCCAGUUGUAGAGAGUCGCACUGUCGUCAGCCAGGAGUGAAAUCAAUGUGCAAUAGGACAUGCGACCUUUGUC
Haliotis rufescens (red abalone) is the source of this 246-nucleotide long non-coding RNA. RefSeq lists it as uncharacterized. The record is from RefSeq and is a predicted model, not a curated record. NCBI's taxonomy places the organism in Eukaryota, Metazoa, Mollusca, Gastropoda, Lepetellida, Haliotidae. The transcript has 3 exons.